RNAcentral lists this long non-coding RNA (423 nucleotides) under Citrus x clementina. RNAcentral describes it as "Citrus clementina (C. clementina) long non-coding RNA (CCLE_LNC002737)". The record is from RNAcentral. Lineage: Eukaryota; Viridiplantae; Streptophyta; Magnoliopsida; Sapindales; Rutaceae.
GAGAAAUCCAAGUGAAUAGUAUUGUAAGUCCAACUAAUUUUUUUAUAAAAACGAUGAGUUUAGUUUUCUAGGUAUUGUGUUAUUAAUACAUGUGAUGUAUUUUUGCACUUGAAAAUAGUUACACUCGUUGGAUGCUAUACUUCAUGGCGUUGUGGAUGCUACAUAUUCAGUAUCUUGGAGUUUCUUGUCAUUUGUAGUGACCCAUGGGGAAGGAGUUCCACGGCAACCUAACGGUUUUGAUUGUGGAGUUUACGUCAUCAAAUUUAUGGAUACUCCUGGAAUCAUCACCAACAAAUCGUAUGUGGUACGCUCCCUUAUUCGCCUUAUGUGGUUUUUUGGUUGAUUUUACUACUGUUGUUGGGCCACUGACAUGAUGAAAGUGCAUGAUUAUUUCUGCAGCAUGACUCACAGAAUGUUCGGGCG